Molecule: ribosomal RNA, 253 nt
Filed under: uncultured bacterium
Lineage: Bacteria
Description: partial 16S ribosomal RNA
Rfam family: Bacterial small subunit ribosomal RNA
Source: RNAcentral
GACAGAGGUGCCGAGCGUUAGGCGGAAUCACUGGGCUUAAAGCGUGUGUAGGCGGCCCGUUAAGUGUCUUGUGAAAUCCCCCGGCUCAACCGGGGAACGGCUGGGCAUACUGGCGGGCUUGGGUCGCUCAGGGGCAGACGGAACAGGCGGUGGAGCGGUGAAAUGCGUAGAUAUCGGGAGGAACACCAGUGGCGAAGGCGGCGACCUGGACAAGCACUGACACUCAACUACGAAAGCGUGGGUAGCAAACAGG